Molecule: unclassified non-coding RNA, 6918 nt
Filed under: Homalodisca vitripennis (glassy-winged sharpshooter)
Lineage: Eukaryota; Metazoa; Arthropoda; Insecta; Hemiptera; Cicadellidae
Description: uncharacterized LOC124366113, transcript variant X1
Source: RNAcentral
AAUACCAAAGUAAAGUAAAAAGCACAAUAGAAAGUUUAUUAUAGAAGACCACCAAAACUCAGAUGAGGGAAUGAAGACUAAUAUGUUGUUGUGGUUGUUUAUUCUGUUUUAUCUAAUCUGAUUGCUAACCAUUUACAGAUGGAUGACGAUAUAAAACUUUGGAAAAGGCGAGCACGCAGCUAUCAACAAAGUUGUUGUAAUAGUUUUUGUGAUAGAAUUUAUGAUAGAGUCAAUGAAGAACAACUGGCUUUCAAAGUUGGCUAUGCUCUUUAUAAUGCACCUACUGAGAUAGAUGAAGAUACCAAAACUGCAGUGUAUACAAAGGCUCAAGAGAGUCAUAUAAAGUUAGUCUGUGAUAAGAUAAAAUCAUUACACCCAACAGGAGAAAACUCAUUCUAUAUUUCCUAUUUAUACAUUGUGAUUAGAUUAAGGAACAAAAAAAAUGAUGAAGGUAUUCAAGUAUUAUUUCGUAUUCCUACGUUUGAAGAAGGUAAGCCUAUUUUAGACAAUCAUAAUUUUAUUGAUCCUAAGCCAAGGAGAUAUGAAACUUGGAAUGACUAUCUACGAAAAAACAAACUUCCAAAAUGUGAUAUGUGCUAUCCAGUGAACGGAAUCUAUUCAGCCAUAGAUGGUAGUGUUGAAAUUCAGUUUGGAAAAUCACCAGCCUGUGACACCCGCACAGCAGUGUUCACCAGUCUCGAUGUGUCCAGUACUGUUUUGUUGGUUGGAGCCACUGGAGUCACCCUUGUAUCUCUGGCAGUCCCUGUUGCUGCACCAUUUGUUUGGGGUGCCACAGCUACAGUGCUUGCAUCCGGGACUUACGAUACAGCGAGAAAUUUUUAUCGCCUUCAUGACAUCAAGAAGCAUGGAGAAAGUCUUGGUUUAAAGAAUCCUGAUUCCAGAAGUGCUUGGUUAAGUUUGGCAGGUUCCGUUGUCGGUAUGGCCUCUAUAGGAACUACUGCUUUGGCUAAGGGGGUUGUUGCUACAGAAUCAGCAAUCAGUCGAGCAGGGCUCAUGACGUUAAGAGUGCUCAAUGUCUCUUCUCUGGCUAUCAGUGGUAUUGGAGUAGUCAACGGAAUUAUAACAUUGGUGAUGAAACGCAUUAACGGAACAUUGGAAACAGCCGACAUCCUGCAGUUUACUUCAGCUUGCCUUUUCUUUUUGAACGCGUUGGUUACUUAUAAUCUGGCUUGUAGGUUAAUAGAAGAAUUAGCAUUUUCUGAUUUGACAAAUCUAUUUAACCUUAGAGAAAAUGCAAGUUUUCGAGCUAUAAAAGACAUUAUGGAAUUCAAUGAUCUAACAACCUAUAGUGUUUUGAGACAGCUUGUUGUAGGUAUCAGGUCAUUAUUGAGUCCUGAUAUCGGUAUAGAUGACCUUGAGUCUUUGGCACUCACAGUAAAUUCUCUUUUGAUGAAGAGAAGUACAGGAACAAUAAGUAAGGACAAGUUUUUUGUAGAGAUGAUAAUCAUUAUUCAUAAAAUUUGGAAAAGAUAUGAAAAUGUCAUCUUAUCAGUAAUUGAAGACGUUAAAAACACAUUCAAAGUUUCAUAUUGGCAGGAGAUAAUACCGAGACAAGCAUCAACAAAUUUAGAAAUUCCACGUCAAAUGUGCAAAGAAGUUGAUUGGGUUAUUGAGACUUGUGGUAUCAGUCAUCAUUCAAAUGAACAUAGAAAUCUCAUGACCUUCGCCAGAGCUUUUGCUACAACUUACGGGUUAACUACGGAUCAGGAGUUCAUAAAUCGAUUCAAAUUCUACUGUGACUGUAUUGUAGCUCAAUUCAGGGAGGAAAGGGAAAAUUAUGAAAACGAUCUUGACUCUCAAGUGUCAGAUAAAGAUUUUGUAAGAAGUGAUUUUGAUAGAUCAUAUGGGAUAGAAGAUGACAAAUACAAGUUCUUUUUUAACAAAGCCUUAGAUAAGGUCAAUCAUCCUGACUUUUUGGGUAAUAUUGACGAGCUGUACGAAAACCUUCCUAGGAUAGAAGAAUCUCACACACACGUUCCAUAUUUGCAGACAACAAAAAGUAAGAUUUACACCUUCUGUGGCCCGUUAAAUGAAAAAGAACUAACAAACGAUUAUUACUGGGACAAGGCUAGUGAUUUAUCAGGUAUUAAAACUGAUAGUAAGAACUCUGUAAUGAAUAGGAAAAAUGAUCUUGUUGUUAUUCAACCAAUUAGUAAUUCAGAGGUGGUUGAUUCAGAAACAAACCAACUCCUUGCUAUAGUGAUUCACACAACAUAUCUAAAUUACUGCCACAUGGGCCUAUUGGUAGUGAUACUUAAGUGAUACUGUUCAGUAGUUGAAUCAUUUCACUGUAGUGAUUAACACCACUUAGCGUAUCAACCAUCACCGCUUAUGAAUUAAAGCUAUCAAAAGCAAUGCUUUGUUUAAAGUUUGUUAUUGACGAUGGAUGAUUUAAAUAGGUAUUCAGAGAUUUGUCAUUGUAUUGUGUUACAAAAAUAGAAAAAAAUGAAAUCUAUCUUCUUGUAAAUUUAAAAAAAUCAUAAUACAUAAAGCUAAACUAAAUUUGAGAACAAAACCUUGUUGAACGUCAAAAAACAAAGCAAUACCUGACUGGUACAUCAACAGCCUGAAGUCCAGACUGUUGAAAAUAAACGCAGACAAUGUCAUUGCUCAGAACCAAGAGUAGUACUACACAACACAUGUCAAAUGCCCCAGAGAAGGUAGAAGACUGGAGAAAAAAAUCAGUGUCUCAACUUCCUGUGGUAUUGCGGUAUGUUGUCUGAAACAAUAGUACAGGACGGCGAUGAUCUGGAGUGGGAGGGAUAAGGGCAGACGCCCUUGAUCGUACAUAUUGGUCCUAGUUCAUGGUGUGCGUACAAAUUGUAUUGACAGAGUUUUAUUUGAUUGUUGAAAAAUUUUUAAGUUUAUGUUGUUAAUUCUUUAUUUAUAAUUGGUUACCAAAGUGGCCUAACUUCAACAGAAACACUUGGUGUUUCUCCUGCUAAUUUUAUAUAUGUAGUCGAUAUGUGUAAGUUGCAAAAAAAUUACCCUCAUAUAUUUUACGGCUUCAUCUCAUUUGUGUGUUCAUCUAGUGGAAGAUAAUUCAUACUACUACGCUUUUUUCAUAAUUUUUUUUGUCCUAAAGGGAAGGAAUUCAACCUUCAUUCAUCAGAAUGCCCAAAUCGCUAAUAACAAAGAGGAAGAAUUGUUUCUCAUGUUAUGAAUUGAUUCCAGAACUUUUUGUAGUGAAUGAGACUGGCUUCAGGAGAACCAUUCACAAUAAUUUCCAUAUUAUAAAUUAGUGAGUUCUUUUGGUAGAAAAAUUAACAAAGGAGAAAUUGUAGGGAUAUUUUAAACAACAUUUAAACUUCAGUGAAUGGAAUUUCCAUUUACUGUCAAGAAGUAUUGCAAAACGCCCGCUGUCAAAAUUAAAUUGGCUUCAGGAUUUUCAAAAGUAAUCAUUAUCAGAAUAUAUCACUACCAACAGUUGUGGAAGAUUUGCAGCAUUUAGUAACACUUUCCUCUUUCAUUUUAAUGUGUGUUGUCCCCUAAAAACAAACUGGAAUUGUUUUUUAAACAGAAAAAACAAAUUCUUGGUUAAUACCUGGAAUUUUAAUCUCACAUGAGAGACUUAAGUUUCUAUCCUAGAUUCUAACGAGCUCAAAGGAUGUUUAUUUUUUUUGUAACCAAAGCUUCUACAACCUAAGAUGUCACAAAAUCAAUUGAAAACUCAAAAAAGCUUGUAAAAUGAUAAAGUUUACUACUUCAAAUCAGAUAUCUCAAAAUUGACAGUAAACUUAUUACAAACAUAGAAAGUAGCUUAUGAGUUAAGUUCUUCUCUGAAGUAAGCGGACGAGAAAGAUCUGAAUCUUGUCAACAACAGAUUGAAGCAACAAGUGGGCAGAGCUUGGCGGACUCUAUGAUGCUGUGACUCCAGUCAGAACUGUAGGUUCUCCAUGUUGUGCAACAACUAGUGGCUAAAAAGACAAAUUAUAUAAAUUUCUUAUCGACUUUCAAUGUUUUAUCUAUUUCUCAAAAGUCUUUGAUUGUAGAUCAUCACAGUCCGUUGAAAAAACUCAGAAUGUAUGGUAUAAAAGGUGUGUACAUUUGUGGCUGAAAUCUUACCUCAACAAUAGAACUCACUUAGAAUUAAUCAUUGAAAGUUUCAGAACUGAGAUAUGGAUCAAUAAGCUCCUUGCUAUUUCUGAUUUGUGUCAAUGACCCUGGUUCAUUGCUUUUUCCCGGGCAAUUGGUGCAGUAUGCUGAUGACACGACUUCCCUAUUCAGAUCUUAUGUAAGAGAAUUACUGGAAAUUCAAAUGUUCAGUGAUUUGAACUGUGUACAUUUCAACGAACUAAAUUUGCAAACCAAUGUAAACAAGGCAAAUUAUUUACAAUUAUGUCUUAAGAUCGAGAAACUCUGACUUUGGUACGUCAGUUAUAACUGAUGAGGUCAUUCCUGAGAAGUUUGACCAUGUAAAGUUCCUAAGGAUGUAUCUUUAUUAAGGUUUGACCUGGGAUUUUUAUGUGAGUUCAGGUUGUGCCAAGAUAUCCUAAGGAAUUUAUGCUUCGAGAAGAUAAAAUUUUGUCCAACGCAGGUACCGCUCAUGGCAUGCUAUGGCUUUAUUUUUUCUUAUCUUCUCCUAAGAGGGUGGGAAAGAUGCUCAAAUUCUGAGUUCACAAGAAUCUUCAGAUUGCAAAAGAAGUUGUCUCAAUAAUCUCAAAAUUACACUCCAGACAAUCGUGCAAACCAGGCUUUAUUCUACUACAUUUUUCAAUCUGCUGUAUUAUGUUCAAUAGUAGUCUUAAACGGGCCAUUAACACAUUCUUACAAAACAAGAGGCAAAGAUAGCCGAAUAGAACAGCAUCAAACAAUAGUAUGGUAUAUGAUCGCCUUCCUUCACAGACAGGUUCGCAUUUUGUUAAUAGUCUUCAUGAGUCCAAGCAACCCAAUCACUAAAACACGGAUUCAAGUAUUUUUUUUUGGUAUCAAACUCCUAUUACUCUCUGGGAGAGUUUCUCACACAACUGGGAGAGACUUUUGAGUUGAGCAGAGGUGGUCCAGCCUGGCAUUAGAUAUGUAUGUACGUAAGGAGUGGAUUUAUCGUCUUUUACACAUUGUAUUUAGCAUUAUGUUGUCAACUCAAUAUAGGAAUAUUGUAUUUUAUUUUAUUCUUUUCAGGCCAACAAUGUGUGGAGUAAUCUUUUACUUUUCCACUAGCACUUUUUUCAUCUUGUUUUUAUUUUCUUUAACUUUCACAUUUAGUGUUCUUAUUGUUUUACCCAUAUACUCUAUUACAAGAAUAUAUUAUACUUUAAACAUAGAUUUUAAGCACUGUGUACUACUUUUUUGGUUUGGUUUUAAUGAGGUUUAACCUAAGAGUGAAUCUUGUUUAAUAAGCGGUUCUAACAUUGUAUUUUCUGCUUAUUGUUCUAGUUUUCUCUGAUUAUACUGGCACAUAAGGGAUUGAUAUGUAUGAGAACUUAUAUAUAUAUACUUAUUAUUAUACUUAUAUAUUUUGGACUUAUUUAUAACAGACUGAGUGUACCCAUUUUUUAUAAGAUCUGAUGCCACAUAUUUUCUUCUUUUAACCCAUCUUUAUCUGAGCACACGCUCUUUGAAUUGUUAAACAAAGAGUAAGCAACUCCUUCUUUGAUAGAUUUUUGACGGUUCAAUUCAAAAUUUAGAUAUGGACCCAUGUGUUUUCUUAUGAUAAAUCUUUGUCUUAAAAACAUCCCUAUCCCUCAUAUCUUGAAAGGAAGUUUGUUUUGGACCUGCUUGAUUAGGUGAAUGGAGAGAGAAAUGCGUUAGACAAAAAGUCAUUUAGUUGAGAGUAGGCAGAAAAUGCAAUGUUAGAACUGCCUUAAAACACAAAACGCUCUUAGACAAAGUCUUGUAAAAACUAUAUUUACAGUAUAACAUAUAUUGUAAUAGAAAAUACAUAGGUGGGACAAAAAGACCCCUAAAUUUGAAACUUCAAGGAUAUAAAGACAAAACAGUAAAAGAGCCAGUGGAAAAGUCUAAAACUGCUCAAAAUUGCUGGUCUGAAAAUCGUUUAAAGUGGGAUCAACAUAAUGCAUUCUGAGAACAAUUUUGUCAAAUAUAAAUUUAUUGAGGCUUCAUACAUUGCACUACCAUAUCAGUCGUAAAAUCAACAUUCAGUUAAAGUUAGACCACUUACCAAUAUUGAAAAAAAGAAUUAACUAUAAAACCUACAAAAUUUCAUCAAUCUUCACUUGGUACCACGAAAGUGCUGACAUUGAUUUUCUCCCCAGUCUUCUAACUUCCUUGGGGGUCUUUCAUGUUGUGUUGGCAAGUUCUUUGCCACAAAUUUCAAAUAUUUGUUGCACCCUUUUGUAUUAAGAUUUUUGACACCCGAUAAAGAGGAUGGAUUUCAGACCUCGAAUCAUUCUACUUUUGCAACAUACAACUAUGGCAAAUGGCUGAAAUCUAUUCUCAGAAGCAGUAAAUCACCAAGCUUUUUGCUGUAAUGGUUUACAAUACAAAGCUAAACUUCUGUCAUAUUGCCAGUGAUACUGAAGUAGGUUUUGGACCAACAAACCAAUUUGUUUCCACAGUAUACCACAUAUUUAAAAUGUUUUACAUGUAGUUACUAGUGGUGGGCUUUCCAGUUACCUGUUGUAAAUGGUUCCAGUUAAAUCCGAGGAGCUCAGUGGAACUUUGCACAGUUUCCAAAACAGUAUUAUAAAUUUCUGGAAUCGUACCUGUUUCCUGUUAAUGAACAGCAGAAUCAUUAGCACAGUGAAUAUUUUAUGUUUAGUGAUUUUAACUAGUGUUUUGUACCUUGAAUAACUAUACAACUUAACUGUUAAUUUUAGUUCAUACAAUGUGUUUGGUAUUAUUAGAAAGAAAAUCAAUUUAAACGCACAAGUCUUAAAUAACUUAUUAACCAUAAAUUAAUAUAUUUUAAAUUAAACCCUCUUAAGUGCUACAAUC